UACCAUUUUCUUUUAAAAUAUGCUUUCAUUUUGGACAUACAGUUUGUAGUUUGCUUGUUUCGUUCAACUUUUUCUCCCAAAGGCUCUGUUACGUUGGAGAAACACGUUAACUUUUAUUCAUAUCUGCAGACGUGCGCGUGGGUCACGUGGCUAAUAUGAUUCUCUUUUUUUCCGCAGAAAAUGCCAUAAAAUAAGAGUGAUUGUGGACUAAUUUAUUUUUGAAAACAUUUCUAGCAGUAUAUAUCCCCUUUAUUUUCGUAAUAUUGCAGACAUGAAGUUGUUUGUUCCUCAAAGGAUCUGAAAGCGUCUGAUCUUUUCCAUUCAUAUAUGCGGGCUGACGUGGGUCACGUGACGUGCCUUUCUCUUUUUUUCCUGUGGAAAAUCUCGUAAAAAGCCAGUGAACGCAGCGUCAUACGGGCACCCCCACCCCACUCCCCCGGAAACCCCCGGAUGAACCCGCAGGAAGGCGCGCGGCUGAAGAACUCUUGGACAGCUGGAAGGCCGCAGGAUCACGGUGAAGGCCUCUUCUGUAUAGAGGACGGGGGCGGAAACGUCACGUGGUCUCCGCAGAGACUGGUCAGUUAUUUGGAGACAACAUGUACAAAUAGUUCCUGGACUGAUCUUCUGCUAACUUUGAGAUGGAGAAGCUGUCAGGUUCAUCUGUUUCAGGGUCCUGCAUGCUCUCCCUCCAUGUUGGCUGUAGCAGUGGAUGGAACUUGCUAAAUGUACUGUUUUGAGAGCCAACUGGGGCUCAGUGGUUAUUUGGAAGAUGCGUUUUUGACCAAAAACACUGUGGUGACCUCCUUUGUGAACUGCAUUCAUGGGGAAAUAGAAUAUAAUCCUGGAGAUGGGAGAUGUGGAGCAGGUAAGUUUGUGGCAGCACCAGAGUCCUCCAACAAGUCUUCUGGCAAAGUAAAUGAGGAAGGAUCGCAGUCUGCCAUCGUGGAGUUUUGCUGAAAGGCCUGAACACGUUCCAUCCAUGCAUCCAUCUUCUUCCAUUCAUCAGGAACCAGGUUGUGAGGGCAGCAGUCUAAGCAAAGAUGCCCACACUUCGCUCUCCUCCAGCUCCUCUUGGGGGACCCCGGGGCCAGCUGAGAGACGUAGUCUCCCCAGCGUGUCCUGGGUCUCCCUUAGGGCCUCUGCCCUUAUUCCUGUUGGAGUUUUUUUCUAACCCCUUAUGUUUCAAAAGUUUGCAAACAUACAUUUUGGUUGAAAUGAUGAGGAUCCGAGGAUGAAAUCAAGAAGGGACAACAUCAGGGAAAGGGACUGAACCGACUGAACAGCUUCCUCUCUUCAGCAGACACAUGUUCCGAGUACAUAUGUGUCAAAAACUGACAUCCUCGCCGUUCAGGCCGGUGGCUGGAACAAGCGGAAGUCAGAAAAGCUGGAGCAGACGUGACCAGAAUGAUACCUCCAGGACCAAUCAAAAUGACCCAGAGAGAAACACUGAAGGGCUUUGUCUGAGCAUCAGGAAAACAAGAAUCAGCUGUCAUCAACAUAUGGUGGAUAAAGGUGGAAAGAUUUCAUGUAAUCCAUGGACACCAGUGAAGAUCACAAAUCAUUGAAGAAAAAAGGUUCAGAGCACUGUCUAGUGGGUCCAGAUGACCCAACUCCCAAUGGUUAUGGUGCCAUGGUAAAGAACUAAAGGCUCUAUGAUGUCAUGCUGCUGACCAGACUGUGGUUGGUGAAGUCCAGCAGCACUGCAGGUCCUUGAAGUGUGGUUGAAGAGCUCUCCUCCCAGCUUUUGGAAGGCAGCACAGAGUCAUUGAUGGAGAGAGGACAUGAGGGACUAAUUGUCUGCUGAGGAGGAGACUUUCUGCAGUUCAAGCCCCAGCUCCACCCCUAAAAAAAGGCUUAUAUAAAGGAAAACCUCAUUUCAUUUUUGUACCAAUAAAUGACUUUUAAUUGAAA
Oryzias latipes (Japanese medaka) is the source of this 1911-nucleotide non-coding RNA. The record is from RefSeq and is a predicted model, not a curated record. Lineage: Eukaryota; Metazoa; Chordata; Actinopteri; Beloniformes; Adrianichthyidae.